Molecule: long non-coding RNA, 1639 nt
Organism: Podarcis raffonei (Aeolian wall lizard)
Lineage: Eukaryota; Metazoa; Chordata; Lepidosauria; Squamata; Lacertidae
Exons: 4
Source: RefSeq, a predicted model, not a curated record
CUACAGCCGAGCAAAAGGGGGAGGAGACGGGGAGGAGGAGGAGGCGCCUGAGGGAAGAUGAAAUCUCGACCACUCUCUCGUUCUUCCCCCCGCCCCGAGAAAGAGAGAAGGUGAGUGAGCAGAGCGCUUCCUUUUGUUUCUGCUUUCUGCCUGGGCCCAAAGAGGGUCAGAAGUGACAGGCGCUCUUUUGCUGAGAGGUGCUUCUCGCAACCACCCCUGGAAGCAGCAAAUGCAAGAUACAGUGGUCUCCUUUGAAGUUUAUCAAAUUGACUCAUUUGUCACAAGCAGAACCUACAAUUAGCAUGUUUCUGCAAACUGAAUAGUGGCAUGGAAAAUUGCACACUUUCCUCAUAGUGAACAAUUCAGAUGACCAUUUUGCUAUGAAGAGGGAGCCAUACAGGAAAAUGUAAAACAGCAGACAGCCAAAAGACUUGUCAUUAUAGUUCCCCAGAUUUCUUAUACAGUACUAGCAGAAAGAAAGAGAGAGAGAGAGAGAAGGAAAGAAAGAAAGAAAGCAAAAAGAGUGCAAAACCAACGUUUUCACAUAAGAUAAGGGGGCAAAGUGAUGCAAAGGCACACAGUAAAAAAAAAAAAUCGAUGCAAAGAUGUUUGCCUCUCUUUCAAAUCAGAGGUGAUAGAACCAUGUUUCCUAAUACCACAAAAAUGUACUUUAUUCACUUCUGGCAGGCUACUGGUACAACUUUUGUCUGGUGAUUAAGAAUCCCAUAUGUGGAUAACUGGAAUUUGUGCUUUGAGUUGUUCACAAACUGCUUAUAAGGCCAUGGCAAUCAAAUCACAACAGUUAGCAAUAUGGACACUAUUUAAGCAAGGAAUAUAAAAAAGUAUUGAGGUAGUUAGCCAUCCAGACACUUUCUCAUCUCCGUAUAAAACUAAAAAUAUGGAUCUAAAGCAGAGAUUCUCAGCUUUGCAACUUGUUCUUGAUUAUCAAAAUUGUUCUCCUCUAUUUCCCUUCAGAAUCUGCCUCCUUAGGUUAUCAGUCCAGGAAGGCUUCUUGCCUUGUGUUUUUCCAAUGGUAUAAUCACAUUAGCACUUAUGCCUCAUCCAGUGCACUCCUGCUGCUAAUUUUUGAAGCCGCAAUAUGUUGCUCCAUAUUAAUCCUGUAGUUCCUUGACAAAUACUGUUGCUUGCUACAUUCCCCCCAACCAGCUUUAGUUUGAUUAGAAAAUAGGGCCUGUUCAUGACCACUUGUUCCACAUUCUAACAGCCAUUGUGCAAGUGCAGGUCACCACGGAAGCACAGAUAAGAGUUUAAUGAAUAAGAGUUCCUGUUGGAUUUUCUCUCUGCGUGUGAGAGAAUCAUUUGUUCCAGAAACAGAAAAGAACAGAGAAGAAGUUUCAAGAAGAAGCAGAAGGCUGAGAUUCUUUUGUCUAUGCAAGGACAUUUUCUGUGGGAAUUGUUCUUUGGACAUGCGUAGUGUGACAGGAAAUGCUGAUAACAAGAGUUAUGUGUAACUUCUUGUAAGUCUCUUGCUUGCAUCUUACAGUGAGAGAAGUAGAGAGAGUCUUGGACUCUUGUUGGACUCUAAGCUUGCCUUGACCAUGGCAGUGGUGAAUGUCUGUAUAUAUUUGCUACCAACAUGCUUUUAUGCCUGUCAAGUAAACCUCUACACUUGACUGAA